GACGAACGCUGGCGGCGUGCUUAACACAUGCAAGUCGAACGGAAAGGCCCUGCUUUUGUGGGGUGCUCGAGUGGCGAACGGGUGAGUAACACGUGAGUAACCUGCCCUUGACUUUGGGAUAACUUCAGGAAAUUGGGCCAAUACCCGGUAGGGAGCCCCGGCGGAUGGGUGGGGGUGGAAAGGUUUCGGCGGUUGGGGAUGGACUCGCGGCUUAUCAGCUUGUUGGUGGGGUAGUGGCUUACCAAGGCUUUGACGGGUAGCCGGCCUGAGAGGGUGACCGGCCACAUUGGGACUGAGAUACGGCCCAGACUCCUACGGGAGGCAGCAGUGGGGAAUAUUGCACAAUGGGCGGAAGCCUGAUGCAGCAACGCCGCGUGCGGGAUGACGGCCUUCGGGUUGUAAACCGCUUUCGCCUGUGACGAAGCGUGAGUGACGGUAAUGGGUAAAGAAGCACCGGCUAACUACGUG
RNAcentral lists this ribosomal RNA (468 nucleotides) under uncultured bacterium. RNAcentral's name for it is "partial 16S ribosomal RNA". It matches the Rfam family "Bacterial small subunit ribosomal RNA", at positions 28 to 507 of the family's 1533-position model. The record is from RNAcentral.